GGCUUAACACAUGCAAGUCGAGGGGCAGCAUUGGGAUAGCUUGCUAUUCCAGAUGGCGACCGGCGCACGGGUGAGUAACGCGUAUCCAACCUUCCCCUUAGUAGAGGAUAGCCCGGCGAAAGUCGGAUUAAUACUCUAUGUUGUGUUUUGAGGACAUCUGACGAACACCAAAGGUUCACCGCUAAGGGAUGGGGAUGCGUCUGAUUAGCUUGUUGGCGGGGUAACGGCCCACCAAGGCUACGAUCAGUAGGGGUUCUGAGAGGAAGGUCCCCCACAUUGGUACUGAGACACGGACCAAACUCCUACGGGAGGCAGCAGUGGGGAAUAUUGCACAAUGGGGGAAACCCUGAUGCAGCGAUGCCGCGUGGAGGAAGAAGGUUUUCGGAUUGUAAACUCCUGUCUUAAAGGACGAUAAUGACGGUACUUUAGGAGGAAGCUCCGGCUAACUACGUGCCAGCAGCCGCGGUAAUACGUAGGGAGCGAGCGUUGUCCGGAAUUACUGGGUGUAAAGGGAGCGUAGGCGGGAUUGCAAGUCAGAUGUGAAAUGCAGGGGCUCAACCCCUGAGCUGCAUUUGAAACUGUAGUUCUUGAGUGAAGUAGAGGUAAGCGGAAUUCCUGGUGUAGCGGUGAAAUGCGUAGAUAUCAGGAGGAACACCGGUGGCGAAGGCGGCUUACUGGGCUUUUACUGACGCUGAGGCUCGAAAGCGUGGGGAGCAAACAGGAUUAGAUACCCUGGUAGUCCACGCUGUAAACGAUGAUUACUAGGUGUGGGGGGACUGACCCCUUCCGUGCCGCAGUUAACACAAUAAGUAAUCCACCUGGGGAGUACGGCCGCAAGGUUGAAACUCAAAGGAAUUGACGGGGGCCCGCACAAGCAGUGGAGUAUGUGGUUUAAUUCGAAGCAACGCGAAGAACCUUACCAGGUCUUGACAUCGUAUGCAUAACUUAGAGAUAAGUGAAAUCCCUUCGGGGACAUAUAGACAGGUGGUGCAUGGUGUCGUCAGCUCGUGUCGUGAGAUGUGGGUAGUCCCGCACGAGCGCACCCUUACUUUAGUGCUACGCAGAGCACUCUAAAGGACUGCGUUGACAAACGGAGAGGUGGGGAUGACGUCAUCAUCAUGCCUAUGACCUGGCUACCACGUACUACAAUGCAUAACAAAGAGAGCGAGACGGGUACUGGGAGCGACCCAAAUGUCAGUACAAUGCAGCGCACUCCUGCUGAUCGGAUUGCUAUCGAUCAUGCAUAUCGUCGCGUAUCGCUGUCACUUGAGUCGGUAC
Molecule: ribosomal RNA, 1278 nt
Filed under: uncultured rumen bacterium
Lineage: Bacteria
Description: partial 16S ribosomal RNA
Rfam family: Bacterial small subunit ribosomal RNA
Source: RNAcentral